UGUAAUAUGUUUGUUCCAACCAAUAAUAUAUAGUGAGCAUAAGGAGCUAAUGAGAAGAACUAGCGCACAUGGCAUUGAUAAGCGUCAUAGGGAGCAUUUUGUUGGGUGGUUUGAACGUAAGGUGAGUAAUGUUGUCAUAUGCAUGUUAAAAAAAUAGCAAUUGUCUUAUUUAUUUAUUUGAAUUGAGUGCAGAUGAAGGUAGUUUAUGCAAAACGAAAGAUUAGUGAUGAGC
Molecule: long non-coding RNA, 232 nt
Filed under: Setaria italica (foxtail millet)
Lineage: Eukaryota; Viridiplantae; Streptophyta; Magnoliopsida; Poales; Poaceae
Description: long non-coding RNA (SITA_LNC005918)
Source: RNAcentral